Long non-coding RNA from Ornithorhynchus anatinus (platypus), 1108 nucleotides. RefSeq lists it as uncharacterized. The record is from RefSeq and is a predicted model, not a curated record. The transcript is spliced from 6 exons. Lineage: Eukaryota; Metazoa; Chordata; Mammalia; Monotremata; Ornithorhynchidae.
CAGGUCCCUCGAACAUGGGUAUCACACGUGAGCCAGGAGACUCGGCAGCAGUAGUGAAGCAUUCUUCUCCCGCCCACUCCGGCAGACUACGCAUUCACAUGACUCCGGAGAAAUACGAGAGAAUCGGGACCUCUGGAAAAGAGAAUGCGUCAGAAACCUUUCCUGAAGACUGGUGUAAAGUCCCAAGCUAUUGUGGAGGAAAAAUGGAAGCAUGCUCUCCAGAGGACCAGGCUAUUUGGGAACACUUCUACAGAUUCCCUGGGCCUCCCCUCCCACCGUGGCCCGUUGGGAUGCUCAGCCAGUCGCCGAUUCCCAACCUGGUCCAGCGGGUGCCCCAGCGCGGGGGACGAAGGCGCCAUCUCUUCGCUGACAGCUCAGCACAGGUAACUGUUGGCCGGGCAGCUUGGCCAAGGCCAGGCCCUCCCGGGCCCCGGCUGCUCGGUCGCACGGAUUCUUGGCAGGAUCUUACCGGGCCCCACCGCAGCUGGAAGGGAGAAGUCAUCUACAUUCUCUGCCCGAACCUCCUGGGCCCCCUCCACCGUCGCCUUCUGCGCCCCUUGGAUUAAAACGACGAGGCACCCGUGCCCGGUCCAGGACUAGAUGGGAAAUCCAAUCUGGUUUACUCAAAGCUCAUCUUGAGAGAUUCAGAGAUUUGCCUGAAAAGAUGCAUCCAGCUAAAGCCAGAGAGAUCUGCUGAUGCCUUUUCCACAACCUGAUAAAUGAGUGGAGUGACCACUUCUUGAAAGGUAAAUGCCUGUUGGUGAAAGGAAUGUUCUUGAAAAGUCAGCAGAUAAACAGGUGGGACUGUGAACCUACCCCAGUGCUGAACACGGUGUUUUGACAAUCAGAUCAUACAGUACCUGCCCGAUAUGAAGCUUAAAGUCUCAAGGGGAGGAAGAUCAGGUCUUUAAUCCUCAUUGGGCAGCUGAGGAAAUAGAGACUUGGAAAAGUAAAGUGACUUGCCCACAUCCACAGAGCAGGUAAGUGUCAGAGCUGGGAUUUUUUUUUUUUGUGGUAUUCGUUCAUUCCUGGUGAAGAUAUAUCAUCAUCCAGGUUGGACACAGUCCAUUUCCUUUGUGGGACUCACAGUCUUAAUCCUUAUUUUACA